UACGGAGGGGGCUAGCGUUGUUCGGAAUGACUGGGCGUAAAGCGCGCGUAGGCGGAUCAGCAAGUCAGGGGUGAAAGCCCGGGGCUCAACCCUGGAAUGGCCCUUGAUACUGUUGGUCUUGAGUUCGAGAGAGGUGAGUGGAAUUCCGAGUGUAGAGGUGAAAUUCGUAGAUAUUCGGAGGAACACCAGUGGCGAAGGCGGCUCACUGGCUCGACACUGACGCUGAGGUGCGAAAGCGUGGGGAGCAAACAGG
RNAcentral lists this ribosomal RNA (253 nucleotides) under uncultured bacterium. RNAcentral's name for it is "partial 16S ribosomal RNA". It matches the Rfam family "Bacterial small subunit ribosomal RNA", at positions 524 to 776 of the family's 1533-position model. The record is from RNAcentral.